This 567-nucleotide ribosomal RNA is filed under the name Pelomonas sp. So1Pw_1106. RNAcentral's name for it is "bacterial SSU rRNA". It matches the Rfam family "Bacterial small subunit ribosomal RNA", at positions 382 to 943 of the family's 1533-position model. The record is from RNAcentral. Lineage: Bacteria; Pseudomonadati; Pseudomonadota; Betaproteobacteria; Burkholderiales; Sphaerotilaceae.
UCUGAUCAGCCAUGCCGCGUGCGGGAAGAAGGCCUUCGGGUUGUAAACCGCUUUUGUCAGGGAAGAAAAGGUUCUGGUUAAUACCCGGGACUCAUGACGGUACCUGAAGAAUAAGCACCGGCUAACUACGUGCCAGCAGCCGCGGUAAUACGUAGGGUGCAAGCGUUAAUCGGAAUUACUGGGCGUAAAGCGUGCGCAGGCGGUUAUGCAAGACAGAGGUGAAAUCCCCGGGCUUAACCUGGGAACUGCCUUUGUGACUGCAUAGCUAGAGUACGGUAGAGGGGGAUGGAAUUCCGCGUGUAGCAGUGAAAUGCGUAGAUAUGCGGAGGAACACCGAUGGCGAAGGCAAUCCCCUGGACCUGUACUGACGCUCAUGCACGAAAGCGUGGGGAGCAAACAGGAUUAGAUACCCUGGUAGUCCACGCCCUAAACGAUGUCAACUGGUUGUUGGGAGGGUUUCUUCUCAAUAACGAAGCUGAGGCAUGAAGUUGACCGCCUGGGGAGUACAGCCGCAAGGUUGACACUCAGGGGAAUUGACGGGGACCCCCCCAAGCGGUGGAUGAUGUG